AAUGAACGUUGGCGGCGUGGAUUAGGCAUGCAAGUCGAACGGGCCCGGCCGCAAGGUCGGGUCAGUGGCGCAAGGGUGAGUAAGGCGACGGUAACCAACCCCAUGGUCGGGCAUAGCCGCGGGAAACUGCGGGUAAUCCCCAGCGAUGUGGGCCGCGGGCAGCCCCGGCCCACCCAAGUCCCGGCGCCGUGGGACGGGCCCUCGUGGUAUUAGGGGGUUGGCGGGGUAAUGGCCCACCCAGCCGGCGAUGCCUACCGGGCGUGCGAGCGGGGCCCGGCACACUGGGACUGAGACACUGCCCAGACUCCUACGGGAGGCUGCAGUCGAGAAUCUUCGGCAAUGGGCGCAAGCCUGACCGAGCGACGCCGCGUGGAGGAUGAAGGCCUUCGGGUUGUAAACUCCUGUCGAGGGGGAGGAAGGCCGGGCGACCGGCUUGACCGAUCCCUGGAGGAAGCACGGGCUAAGUUCGUGCAGCAGCCGCGGUAA
Molecule: ribosomal RNA, 486 nt
Filed under: uncultured bacterium
Lineage: Bacteria
Description: partial 16S ribosomal RNA
Rfam family: Bacterial small subunit ribosomal RNA
Source: RNAcentral